Molecule: transfer RNA, 61 nt
Filed under: Coccinellidae sp. 1 EF-2015
Lineage: Eukaryota; Metazoa; Arthropoda; Insecta; Coleoptera; Coccinellidae
Description: tRNA-Cys
Source: RNAcentral
AGCCUUAUAUUCAAAAAUGAUAUUAAAUUGCAAAUUUAAUGGUGAAUAUAUUCUAAGGCUU